GACGGGUGGGAACGAUUGUAUAUAAUCCACUAAAAUACUUCGUCGUUUCAAAGUAAGCGCCAUUUAUUCUUGGAAGACUCGAGACUUCAAGUCGUAAAGUUGAAAGGAAAGUUUAUCGAACCAACAGAACGACAUUUCAGUUAUUCCAAAAAUAAGCAGUGUCUUUAGCAACAACAACGAACUAUGUCAAAGGUUAAGAAUCUCGCUGAAUUCUCAGCCAAAGAAUUAAAUAAAUUUUUCUCAUCUUUUGAUACAGUAUUUUCCGACAUCGAUGGAGUCAUAGUAAACUUAUUUAGCACACCCAUCAAAGGUGCUUUAGAAUCUUUAACAAAAUUAAGUAAAUUGGGAAAAAAUGUGUAUCUGGUAACAAAUAAUACCUUAUAUGAAGCGGAACACUAUGCGAAAAAAUUUCAAUGUAGCGGAUUUGAGAUAAGUCCGGAACAUAUAAUUAAUACAUCAAAAGUAGUAAUAUGGUACUUGAAAAAGAUCAAUUUUCACGGCGAUGCAUAUAUAAUCGCUUCAGAUUGGCAAAGAAGUUGUUUCCAAAAAGCAGGAAUACAAACAGUCGAGCAGCCGAAGAUUAUGAAGAACAUGACUGAGACCAUGGAGCAACUUUUGGAUCGACCUUCCGUUAAAGCUGUAAUUGUAGACGCCGAUGUGAACUGCAAUUGGGCAAAGAUGGCUUUAGCUAUAUCAUGUCUUAAACGUGAAGAAGUAAUCUAUUUAACAGGAGCGCCGGAUGUUUGGUUGGGCGACAAACAAAAAAAAGUUUUAGCUUUAGGGCCAAUAAUAGAUCUAAUCAGCAAAUGUAGCGGAAAAAAACCUACUACAUGUUGUAAACCUGGCCAAAUCUUGAAAGAUUAUAUUUUGAACAUAUGCAACAUAAGCAAUCCUCAAAGAUGUUUAUUUAUCGGUGACACGAUUCAACAGGAUAUGAAGUUCGCUUCAAUAUGCGGAUUCACGAAGCUAUUUGUAGAAACGGGAAACGAUACCUUGGAGGAUGUACAAGAGGAGGAUACUCGCCCCGACUACUAUAUUUCCAGUUUAGGUCAACUAUUUACUGCUUUCAAGGAAACUCAAAAACAGCAUACCACCAAUCACGAGAUUUGAUUUAUUAAUUUUUCAUUAGAAAAAGGAAAAUAAAUUCACUUUUAACACAAUUUUCGAAGGUGUGUGGCAGUGUCCCUUGUCCGCGAGCCUCAGGCAUCUGAUAUAGAUUUCGAUAGUUGAAGAAUGAUUGUCUGGACGACGAAAAAUCGAUGGAAAAACAACAACAGCGGAGAGUCGCACACGAGCCAUCGUCGAAGGCUGACGUGUGGCGAUUGUAUU
RNA transcript from Harpegnathos saltator (Jerdon's jumping ant), 1329 nucleotides. It is a transcript of the gene named phosphoglycolate phosphatase 2, with no coding region annotated. Lineage: Eukaryota; Metazoa; Arthropoda; Insecta; Hymenoptera; Formicidae. The record is from RefSeq and is a predicted model, not a curated record. The transcript is spliced from 7 exons.